GAUGAAGAACGUAGCGAAAUGCGAUAAGUAGUGUGAAUUGCAGAAUUCAGUGAAUCAUCGAAUCUUUGAACGCACAUUGCGCCCUUUGGUAUUCCAAAGGGCAUGCCUGUUCGAGCGUCAUUUGUACCCUCAAGCUUUGCUUGGUGUUGGGCGUCUUGUCUCUAGCUUUGCUGGAGACUCGCCUUAAAGUAAUUGGCAGCAGGCCUACUGGUUUCGGAGCGCAGCACAAGUCGCACUCUCUAUCAGCAAAGGUCUAGCAUCCAUUAAGCCUUUUUUUCAACUUUUGACCUCGGAUCAGGUAGGGAUACCCGCUGAACUUAAGCAUAUCAAUAAGCGGAGGA
RNAcentral lists this unclassified non-coding RNA (341 nucleotides) under soil metagenome. RNAcentral describes it as "partial contains 5.8S ribosomal RNA, internal transcribed spacer 2, and large subunit ribosomal RNA". The stretch from base 1 to 120 matches the Rfam family "5.8S ribosomal RNA", at positions 35 to 154 of the family's 154-position model. The record is from RNAcentral.